RNAcentral lists this ribosomal RNA (208 nucleotides) under Nitrospirota bacterium. RNAcentral's name for it is "Nitrospirae bacterium (sediment metagenome) partial 16S ribosomal RNA". It matches the Rfam family "Bacterial small subunit ribosomal RNA", at positions 1 to 201 of the family's 1533-position model. Lineage: Bacteria; Pseudomonadati; Nitrospirota. The record is from RNAcentral.
ACUUUUGAGAGUUUGAUCCUGGCUCAGAACGAACGCUGGCGGCGUGCUUAACACAUGCAAGUCGAACGGGGUAAAUAGUGUAGCAAUACACUAUUUACUUAGUGGCGGACGGGUGAGUAACACGUAGGCAACCUACCCUCGAGCGGGGGACAACUCAGGGAAACUUGGGCUAAUACCGCAUAAGACCACGGACUGGGAUGUCAGUGGG